Molecule: long non-coding RNA, 3329 nt
Filed under: Mus pahari (shrew mouse)
Lineage: Eukaryota; Metazoa; Chordata; Mammalia; Rodentia; Muridae
Description: per-pentamer repeat gene (MGP_PahariEiJ_G0032876.1)
Source: RNAcentral
GUGCAGAGUUUCUCAUACACGAGUGAAGACAACACCGGAUGAAAGCUGGGCCCGCAGCUUGAGCUUCAGCUCUUCCACUAGCUUUAACACAGAGCUAGCAGACAGGACAGCUUCUGCUGCUGGGUCCAGUUCCUGUCAUCUGUCCUUUCCCACCUGGACCCUGACGUGGCUCUACAGUUAUGCUAGACCACUCCAUUUCUCCAUAUGUCUCACGUCCUUAACUCUGGUGAUAGGUUACUGCUUCCGUUUACUAGUUCUUGUUUUCUCAUCCCUCCUCCUGUAUAUCUUACCUUAUGCCAGGGAUUGAACCCAGGACCUUUGCUUGUCAGUCAAGCAUUCUGCCACGAGGCAUACUUUCAGGCCCCGCGACAAAUUUGUAGUAUAGUUUCCCUUGCUUAGUGGGUUGCAAUGACCCGGGGAUGAGGGUGUGAGGGAGAGAAGCAGGAGGAACCAGGAACAUGAACUCUGUAGGAACUUGAUGACUUCUGGUGUGCUAUCUAAAGCAGUUGACUCUGUCACCUCCCACUCUCCCUGUCCUUCUGGCUUGCUUCUCUUGAGAGCUCUUCACCUAGCUGGUUCUGAGCCGCUUCCAAGGCACCUGAAGAAGGAAAGGAAUAAGGGAAGAGAAAAGCACCAAGAUACGAUCAGUGAAGGAGUCUUUAUUUAGGAAAAGGAAAAUCUGACAAGAAAUUUGGUAAAUGUUGAAUAGAAGGGUAAACAUGAGCCAGAAGAGAGUUAGAGAGAAGAUUGGGAAAUGGAGAGAGAAAGAGAGAGAGAGAGAGAGAGAGAGAGAGACUUGCUGAGUGAGCUGGGGACUGUGUCUCCCAGGCAGGGUGGCAGAGGAUCCUAUAAGGUCAUAAGAUGUCUGGUAGACAAACCUAGAAUGUUCCUGAGAGGAAGGGGAGGUGUUUAGUGCUACCUGGGAAGGUCAGUGUGUGCUUGAGGUCUGCCUGUGACUGUCUGUUUUCACUUUGCAGAAGAGCCAUGCUUUUGGAACAGGUUAACAGGUUUCCAAUCAGAGUUCAACAUUUUGUUGCUUAAAAUUUCAUUUUUAUCUAUGUCUGUCUAUCUAUCUAUCCAUAUAUCUAUCUAUGUAUCUAUGUAUGUAUGUAUCUAUUUAUCUAUGUAUCUAUCUAUAUAUCUAUGCAUGUAUGUUUGUAUCUAUGUAUCUAUGUUUGUAUCUAUUUAUGUAUCUAUAUAUCUAUAUAUGCAUGUAUAUUUGUAUCUAUGUAUCUAUGUGUUAUGUAUGUAUCUAUCAUCUAUCUAUCUAUCUAUCUAUCUAUCUAUCUAUCUAUCUAUCUAUCUAAUUUUUGUUCUUUGGCUGUGGUUGGCUGCAAGAAGCCUAACACUAGUCAGGGACAGGCCUCCUCCUUGGGGUAGAUGGGUGGGGGACCAGGACAGGGCAGGCUCCCACUUGAAUUGUGUCCAUACACACAUUUUUCCAGCCAGUCCUACCCUUUGCAGGAGGCUAGUGAACAUUUAACUGUGAAUAGUGGGCUCACAUCUGCUUCUAUUUUUCUCCUUUCUGCAGGCCAGACUAAAAAACUUAAUAAAUUGUAUGAAACCUAAGUAAGCAUGGAUUUUAGAGAACAUUAAAUAAAUUACAUAAGUAUGUCUACCUGUAACACUGUUAAAAGGUAAAUGCAGGAGGGUUAGUUUACCAUAAAUGUACACAUGAACGGAGCGUUAUUCUAAAGCCCCUUGUUUCAGCGCCGCCGUCAUGAAAGUAGUACUGUUCCCAGUUCUCGGCUGCUUUUCCUCCCUGGCAAGUACUGUCCUGGGCUUGGAAAACGUGAUAAUGAUGCCGUAAGUACCCUUGUGUAAAACUUGUUUUUUUGUUCCAAAACAUUGCCAGUUCACGGCACAUAAAACCGCCAUGAUCCUUCAGCCACUUUUCCCUCUCCCCAAAUAAGGCAAGCGUUAAUGAAGCAGCCAAGGGCCCGGGAAAAUAUUUGCUAUUCCUUAAAAUGAAAUUUCUCCUGUUCUUGGGGGAAGGGGCAAGCUCAUAGACUGUCUAGCUCAAGUGUGCCAGUGUCUAGCCAGACAUUCGGAAAAUCUUGUUUAUUCCCAGUCUGACUUGAAGCAGCCUUCCAUCGAUGUAGCGUUGUCCCGUCCCGUGUCCUCAUUUGUGACUGGAAGCCACAUGGGAAGGAUGCCUCGGUUUUCCCAUUCUACAGAGAGGAAGGUGCAGUCCAGCCAGGCUCCCUGACCUCUCUCUAGGCCUAGCAGAUCCCUAGCUUCCAAUGCCUGCAGUUACGAAGAAAGUGCAGGGGUCAGGUAAUUCUGAGGUGGAGGUAGACUCACUCUAUUUCACUGCUUGGCUUCACCAGGUGUUUAGGGGUUCCCGUUCAUGGUCCAAGUGCUUGGCAAAUGACAGCUCUUCUGCACAAAUUCCAGACUACCCUUGUCAUUCUUACCUGGCCAGUGUCCUGCAUGGGAGCAAAAAAUGACGUAGUUUCAGGGAGCCCGUGGGUACUCUCUCCAACACCACGCUUUCCCAAUUCCAGUGCAUUAUGAAUUGUAAGAUUUGCCCAGAUAAUGGGUUUUGAAGGAGAAAAGAAACACAACUAUGUUAAAUUUGUAUGAUUAGGCACCCCAAUAGUAGAAAAGUAAAUCUGUAGAACUGAUGUUAGAACAGAGGGGGUAAUGCUUGUGCGUGGGGUACAUCUUGAAGUCAGCAGGCUGUCCUAACUUUGAGAGACAUACACUAAGACAGCUUCAAACAUACUUUUGGUUACAUGAAGGGGAGGCAUUGAGUGGAUCAGUAUUAAAAGAGUAACUUGUGAGCCUGCAGUCAUGAUGGGCAGUCGGCAACUGGGAGGAGUUGGGCAAUUGAUUUUGCAGGAGCCUGUGAACAGAGGCCACGCGGUGGUUCCAAGUUUGCACUUUGUUUUUGGCCACUUGGAAGAAUACCGGCAUUGAAAGAGGUUGGCUUCUGCUUCUCGUGGCACACACUGAGCGCCUGUCUACCUUCCAGCCUCCCCUCAGCCCAGCUCCCCACUGGGAGAAGUUGGUCUGCAGCAUGAAUGGGAACAAUGACCGUAGAGUCUUCACCGGAAGACAAUACCGUAGCAUUUAGUGCUCUGCCGGGAAGAGUGGACCCCGCACAUUAAUUAUCCUUAAUAUAAAUGUGGUGCAUUUGAACAUCUAGAUGAAGAAUGCAGCAAAGAAUAUGCAUUUCUGCUGUGAGUGACUUAGAAUAUAUCAACAUAAUGGCCCUUGGUUAUUAACACAUUAUGUGAAUUGGACAAUGAUAUACACUUUGAGGACCUUGAACUAGAUCCACCAGCUAAGAGCCUGUAGGACGGGCUCCAGAAGCCUGGGAGUUC